GGGGGGGGGGGCAUAGAAAAGACGAGGAAUGCCAAGAAGUUGGAAACUUGACAUGGAAAAACACACACUCUCAAUUUUCCCCGCCACAUUCAACACAAGCACGUUACAUUGCAUUACACCGCAAUAAACCGAACGUUUCCAAACCCCAAAACGGCCCUUCUCGUGGCAAUAGAAGCGUAAAACAUCCUAAAUGUUAUUUUAAACAGAUAAAGAACUAGUGGGUGCGCACAAGCGCACUCUCAACUACUCAUUACAACAAGCAACAAUUUCUCAAAGUUAAGAAUUGUUCACCGAGUUCGGCAAUAGGAAUCUUCACAACUUACUGUUUGACGGCUGUCUGUCUCGAACACUAAUUUCAGACUCAGCCUGGCAAAGUACGAACAGGAGAGACGACCAGUCCGCCUACUUUUGCCCCACCUUCUUUUUCAAGUCCACACACCCAUCUUGCCUCUGCCGACUCCCCAAAAGAAAAAAAAAACCCACACUCCGUUUCACUGGGUCCAACCCACCCCUUAGUUUUUAGUGGUCCAGCUCGCACCCCCACAACUCGCCGCCGCUGGCCCAGCCCCUCCCCCUUUCUGUCCACACACGCCCCCGCGGGGGGACUCUUAUACAACAUCCUUUUUCUCCUUCGGUGUCUCCUGACUUUGUCACUCAGCUGAUGGUGAAUUUGUUCUGGGAGGGCAGCAGAUGACUCACUGAGGUUUUGGUGUGUGGGGGUGGGGGGGGGGAAACUCCCUAACAGUGGACGUUGAUGAAUGUGCGCAGGUUACCAUGGCGACAGACUGGCCGAAUCAUAAUCACACACGAUACGGGCAAAAGCAUCGGUCGUGACGUCUGCAGAAGUUCUCCCCGUUGGCAUAUUAAAUAGCUUCCACACCGGAAGACUUACAAAAUAGUGGGAGGAAGAAGUUUCAGGAAGAAAGAAUGUUGCUGGUUGCAAUCGAGAAAGAGGUGGGGGCAAUUGAGGGCAUGUCAAGGCUUGAGAGGAAGAAAGAGAGGAAAAAAAAAAAGAAGGGUGGGGAAGAGACGGGUGGAGCGAAGACAUGGAGGCAAAGACAAAUCCUUGAGCAGCUACCAUCCCGAGGCCCACCUGCCUCUCGACUUCAUGCAAGGAAGACGAGUAUAUUUGGAAGUGAGAAUGCAGCUCCAUACAGCAACUACAUGCUCAUCGACAAAGGGUAACGUUACGGCAGAGUCAUGUAAUUGACAAAUAUUCUUGUCCAGGUUUUGCUUUUCAAGACAAUUUUAUUUGCUGUUUCGUGUAGAUUCGCCGUCCUUUUCGACAUUAACAUUGUAGCAAUUGUCAAGCCUUGUGUACAUAGCAGGGAUAGUUCAUCCAUAUGAUCUUACAAAACGUGUGUGUGUGUGUGUGUGUGUGUAUGUGUGUGUGUGUGUAAAAUGUUCCCCCCAAGCAGUGAAGUAAUUUUGUGGAAGCCCAUUUGAUUGAUGCAAAAUCAGAUUCCUGUUCAGAUUUUGUCAUGAAUUAGCACUUGUUAAAUUAAAGACACAAAAAUCAUGACAUUAAUAUGAAGUAGCAGUUUAUUUAUAACAAUAUAGUCCAAAGCAAAGUUUCAAAGACAAAAAGAACAUUCAUGGAAGGCAGCAGCAAGUCUUCAACGGGAAGAGCGCCCCCAGACGAAGAAAAAAACGUAACG
Hippocampus comes (tiger tail seahorse) is the source of this 1658-nucleotide long non-coding RNA. RefSeq lists it as uncharacterized. Lineage: Eukaryota; Metazoa; Chordata; Actinopteri; Syngnathiformes; Syngnathidae. The transcript is spliced from 3 exons. The record is from RefSeq and is a predicted model, not a curated record.